Long non-coding RNA from Ornithorhynchus anatinus (platypus), 668 nucleotides. RefSeq lists it as uncharacterized. NCBI's taxonomy places the organism in Eukaryota, Metazoa, Chordata, Mammalia, Monotremata, Ornithorhynchidae. The record is from RefSeq and is a predicted model, not a curated record. The transcript has 2 exons.
AUUUCCACCUUGCACACGACAAUUUCCUCCUCCUUAUCCGCCAGAUUCUGCAGGUCUUCCCCGUGCAACUUCUGCCAGUGCAGCAUCUGAGUGUUUAUCACCCCCAUCCUCUUGUCAAAGGCCUGGACCUGCCCCGGGGGAGAAGGUGACGAGAAGGACCCGGUCGUCCCAGGGCCCCCGAGGUCUCUGGCCCAGAGCGAGCCUGAGGAGCGAGGAUCCGUAAUGAGGAACCUGGAGACGUAUGACCUCAGGAGUUGGUGAGAUGAGAAACUUUAAAUUGGAUAAUUUCUAAACCCUCAGUACAAAUGCCCCAGGGGAAGACUAUUUCUUAAAUGAAAUAAUUUUAUCUUCUGUCAGAAGAGACGUUUACUUCUGGAGAAGACCGAAGGACACCGAUCCUUCAGCCAGUGAACUGAAGGGAGCCUCUCUGCUGCCCAGAGUGUAAGGAGGGACACUCAAACGGGAGGUGAGAAACGAGGAAGGCACGGAAGACAGUUUCCUUAGCACGGGCACCUCGGUGCAAUACUGUUCUCUCAACUUCUCUGCCCGAGAAGAGCUCGCAGGAAAGAACGUGCUUCAGAACAAGGCCGGCCUGACAGGCGGCUCUCCGUAACCCGAAGGGGCCUGCGUUAAUAUGCUGCUCUAAUUAAAGGGAAAUCUACCCUCAA